RNAcentral lists this long non-coding RNA (2330 nucleotides) under Mus musculus (house mouse). Its description in RNAcentral is "long non-coding RNA chr10:14083098-14085428". Lineage: Eukaryota; Metazoa; Chordata; Mammalia; Rodentia; Muridae. The record is from RNAcentral.
UCAUAGCUGCUAGCCCUCUCUGUUCACAAAAUGUCUUUAUGACAUAACAAGUCAAGAUGAUGCAGGCAUUAGACAUAUGUACCAUCUCUUGUUCAUAAUUGCUAACGAAGACUUUAAACUUCACUUGUAAUUUGGAUAUGGAUGUCUCAUAAUAAUUUUUUAAAAAGUAAUCCAGUUUUUUUCCUGUUGCAUAGUUAAAAAUAUUAUGCCCUGCAGGGCCCACAGACAUCAGAUAGGGAAAGAGAACAGAACUGAUUUCAUGUAUAUAUCAGGAGCAUUUAUUCGUUCAUUCAUUCAUUCAUGCACUCAUUCAUUCAUUCUGGAUAGGGAUUGAUUGGUUGAGUUUUGUUCUCAAUUCCAAUAAAGGCAAAAUAAAUACUCACAAAUGCAUUUUCCUGAGAGUGCUCAACAACAUCUUGCCCUUCUUUUCUGCUUCUGUCUCUCUUCUCCCUCCUUGACAGUGGAACUCCCAGGGAAGCAGGCAGAUAAGGAAAGCUCAGAGACUCUUGCUCUCUCUUGCUCCUCUCUUGCUCUCCUGCCCUUGCUCUGUCCUCUGUCCUCUCGCCUCUUCCACCGUCUCUCUCUGUGUUCUCAUGACCGGUCUCUACUCCUCUACUUCUCUACUCUCUCUCUCCCCGUCUGCCUUUCUUUGACUCUACUACCCUCUUAACUCCCCUCCCCAUGCCCUUAAUAAACUCUAUUCUAUAAAAAAAGGAGAGCUCAGAGAAACAGGAACCAAACCCUCUCCUUCGUGUUCUUUCUGGGUCUCUCCCGAAGUCUUGGUGGCAUCCGCAGUUCACUUUCAUAUCAGUAAAUACUCUCAUUGGCAUAGGUACUAAAAGGAUUCUUCUAGAAAUCCAUUGAUUGGAGAGGGUAGGAAUGGUUUUAUUUCUCUCUUUGACUCUUGUCUGUGAGGGAGCAGAAAGACGGUCAUGGCAGCAAGAGGAUGGAGAAGUCCUAGGCCACACAAAGACCCAUGUUGUACCAUAACACAUCAAGGCCUUAGGGCCUGGUAGAAGAGGAAGUCAAAGAACUUUCCUUUCUUCACCAUGUGACCUUCUGCCAUUUCACCUGAUUUUCAUGUCAAUAAAUGGGCACCUUUGUCUUCAUCAGGAAGUCUUUGACUAUGAUGAAGUCCAUGCCCAUGCAGGUCUUGAUGGCUCCUCCUGCCUGCGCUUUCUAGGCCUAGCAGAAGUGAUGAGUUGUGACAGUCUUCAGGAGUGCUUGCCCCAGUGUCACCCAUCAUUACAUGCUUGUCCUACUAGUACCAAUAAAAAAAGUUAUUAACCCCAGAUUAUUUAAUUCAUUUUUAAUGGGCAUAUUCAAAUCUAUGCAUGUCUUCCCUUAUGGUUGACACAUCUUUUCAAAAAUACAAUGAGCUUGCUUAAAUGAAUUCAGGAACUCUUCCCAUGUUAUGUCUCUCUGACUUUUAGAUGAAUCUUAAGUCAGAAACAUCAACUGAAAAAUACAGACCUAAUGGCCUGGUAAAGGUGGCCACUUUAAAGGUGGUAAAUGGUGCCAAUUUAAAGCACCAAGUAAUUCUAAUGGAGCCAUUACUUUUAUCUCCAUUUAACAGAUUAGAAAAGUGAGGCACAGAGAGGUUAGGUAGUUCACCUGAUGCUAUGAUUUGUUCAUUGAGUGUGGGAUAUGAUUCAAAGCUGAUAUUCUGGCCCAGAUCCGCAUGAUCUGGCCUGGAUGUCGCAUGCCUCUUGUUAUUACAUCAGUGCUGUACACCAGGGUUUCUUUGGAUUGCGGAAUGAGUGUGUCUGUAAGAAGGGAGCCUUUGGAUGGUCUGUGGUGUUGUCUAUGUAGUCUUAGGAGGGCCUCUCCCCGUCUCUCUGAAAGAUACUGUUGUCAUUUGGUUCUAAGCCUGUUCCACUUUAUUGCCUUUUAGUAUGAGGGCAGGAAAAACAGGUUCUUACUUAAAAUUGGAGUUGUUAUGGAAGGUGCCAGGUUUGGACUGUCUUCGUAUUUCAGGGAUGUGACAAGCCUUUGCUAUUGAAGCUUUCUAGUUGGCAGCGUUAGUAGGUGCACGUUGACAUUUCUGUCUACAUUCCUGUGUCUUAGAGGGAAAAUAAGUUUGCCAGUGUUUAUCUUCCUGAGUAUUACUUGACAUUAGUGCUGCCCGAGAAGCCAAACUUGCUUGAACCAGUCACCCAGAUGGCCAGACUGGGUGGCGAACCUGCCUUAACGAUGCUCGGCGGUUGACACGUGGGGCUGUGAGGUGUGCUGCUCCCUCGUCUGUGCCAGGCAUGCAGAGCGUGUUCUUUGAUGGGGUGAGACAGAUGGUACCCUGCAAUCUAAAAUGAUGAGGCAGGAAAGAAAAGUUG